UUUUUUUUUUUUUUUUUUUUUUUACAGAUUUGUUGAAAGCAGCAAGUCCAAAGAUCAAAAAGUUCAUCAAACCCCAGGCAGGGAGUUCCCGUCAUGGCACAGUUUAGGAACCAUGAGGUUGCGGGUUCGGUCCCUGCCCUUGCUCAGUGGGUUAACGAUCCGGCGUUGCCGUGAGCUGUGGUGUAGGUUGCAGAUGCUGCUUGGAUCCCGCGUUGCUGUGGCUCUGGCAUAGGCUGGUGGCUAUGACUCCGAUUCAACCCCUAGCCUGGGAACCUCCAUAUGCCGCAGGAGCGGCCCAAGAAAUAGCCCCCCAAAAAAAAAAAAAAAAAAAAACCCAGGCAGGAUAAACAUAAACAACCAACUUGGGUAUAUCAUAAUGAUACUGACAGCCGAAGAUGAACUGAAGAAUCUUUGGAACAGCCAGAGGAGGUUGGAGAAAAAGACACAUUUCAUUCGGGUGAACAACAAGAGGAACGAAUGCAGGAGUUCCCAUCAUGGCUCAGUGGAAACGAAUCUGACUAGGAUCCAUGAGCACACGGGUUCGAUCCCUGGCCUCGCUCAGUGGGUUAAGGAUCCAGUAUUGUGACUGCUGUGGUGCUGGUUCAAUCCCUGGCCUGGGAACUUCUGAAUGCCGUGGGAGGAAAAGGAUGGUAUUGCAGAAAAUACAGACCUACGGAGGAAUGAAGACUGCCAAACAUGGACAGGAAAUAGAACCUUUGCCUAGAUCCAGGCAGCGGGAACCUUGUAGGCCUCACGAUGGUGUUUGUAAAGAUGAACCUUGUGCAUGACGAGCAGUCACCUGGAUUCGCCCUCAGACGGCACGGGUCAGCCAGCUGCCCGGGACCCGCCGCAGCGAACCGCUUCCGCAGAGCGCGUUACCCGUGUCGGAACAUGAACAGUGGUUGGGAAACAUCAUUCCGGAGGGAGAUGCUGUGUGGCCAGAGGACACGGGAUCAGUAAAGCUGUUGAAAAGGUGGCG
Molecule: long non-coding RNA, 979 nt
Filed under: Sus scrofa (pig)
Lineage: Eukaryota; Metazoa; Chordata; Mammalia; Artiodactyla; Suidae
Description: lncRNA (ENSSSCG00065049114.1)
Source: RNAcentral